RNAcentral lists this ribosomal RNA (468 nucleotides) under uncultured bacterium. Its description in RNAcentral is "partial 16S ribosomal RNA". It matches the Rfam family "Bacterial small subunit ribosomal RNA", at positions 28 to 507 of the family's 1533-position model. The record is from RNAcentral.
GACGAACGCUGGCGGCGUGCUUAACACAUGCGAGUCGAACGGAAAGGCCCUGCUUUUGUGGGGUGCUCGAGUGGCGAACGGGUGAGUAACACGUGAGUAACCUGCCCUUGACUUUGGGAUAACUUCAGGAAACUGGGGCUAAUACCGGAUAGGAGCUCCUGAUGCGUGUUGUGGGUCGGAAAGUUUCGGCGGUUGGGGAUGGACUCGCGGGUUAUCAGCUUGUUGGUGGGGUAGGGGAUUACCAAGGCUUUGAAGGGUAGCCGGCCUGAGAGGGGGACCGGCCACAUGGGGACUGAGAUACGGCGCAGACGCCUACGGGAGGCAGCAGGCGGGAAUAUUGCACAACGGGCGGAAGCGUGAUGCAGCAACGCCGCGUGCGGGAUGACGGCCUACGGGUUAUAAACCGCUUUCGCCUGUGACGAAGAGUGCGUGACGGUAAUGGGUAAAGAAGCACCGGCUAACUACGUG